CCUACGGGAGGCAGCAGUGGGGAAUAUUGGACAAUGGGCGCAAGCCUGAUCCAGCCAUGCCGCGUGAGUGAAGAAGGCCUUCGGGUUGUAAAGCUCUUUUGUGAAAAGUCCGGUACCGGAAGAAUAAGCACCGGCUAACUUCGUGCCAGCAGCCGCGGUAAUACGAAGGGUGCAAGCGUUACUCGGAAUUACUGGGCGUAAAGCGUGCGUAGGUGGUUCGUUAAGUCUGAUGUGAAAGCCCUGGGCUCAACCUGGGAAUGGCAUUGGAAACUGGCGACCUAGAGUGCGGUAGAGGGUAGUGGAAUUCCCGGUGUAGCAGUGAAAUGCGUAGAGAUCGGGAGGAACAUCCGUGGCGAAGGCGACUACCUGGACCAGACUGACACUGAGGCACGAAAGCGUGGGGAGCAAACAGGAUUAGAUACCCUUGUAGUC
Molecule: ribosomal RNA, 432 nt
Filed under: uncultured bacterium
Lineage: Bacteria
Description: partial 16S ribosomal RNA
Rfam family: Bacterial small subunit ribosomal RNA
Source: RNAcentral